Molecule: long non-coding RNA, 501 nt
Organism: Pseudopipra pipra
Lineage: Eukaryota; Metazoa; Chordata; Aves; Passeriformes; Pipridae
Exons: 3
Source: RefSeq, a predicted model, not a curated record
GUCCCCUGCCUCAGGAGGAUUGUUGAAAGCUCCAGAAGCAACCUGAACCUGGGAGCAGCGGGCCUGAAAUCUCUCUGAGUCAUGGCUAGCCCAAAGGUGUAGGACCCUCACAUGGAGACAAGGUGUACAGCUGCCUACGGCUGGGCUGCAGCAAGUUCAGGCAUCAGGACAGUGGAGUUGUCACUGUCUCAAACCCCAAAACCCCAGCUUUGUAGGAGAGCCCAGCAGGCACCACUGCAGGGGAAUAGGGAAGGCGCAGGAGAGCUGAGAGGAGAUCUUUCUGCUGUUCAGAUGGGACUGAGGAGCUCAGUAGCCAAGUGUGGCUGGCCAGGACCUCUGUGGCUGGCUGGAGGAUGACAUGAGGAUGAUGCCAACAUGGAGCAUUGGCUGUUGGGUCAACAGGGCAAGGCCACUAAGGGAAGCAGCCCCUGCGAUGAGCCCCUCACCUGCCUGUCACAACACCGGAGCUGAGGCUGACCUCUCACAGGCUGGAAAGGAGCG